This is a long non-coding RNA of Lycium barbarum (goji berry), 1053 nucleotides long. RefSeq lists it as uncharacterized. Lineage: Eukaryota; Viridiplantae; Streptophyta; Magnoliopsida; Solanales; Solanaceae. The transcript has 3 exons. The record is from RefSeq and is a predicted model, not a curated record.
AGAUUACUUUGGCCGGAGAAAGUUUGAAGUAGAAUGAAGGUGUUGUAAUUCCUUUUCACGAGGAAAACGUUACAUGCAGCAACUUGUUCUAAUGGAAUUUACAAAAGUGAUAUGUAUGUAUUCAUUAAAUAUUGGUGUUAGAUUAUUUUAACCUUGAUUAGUGUUUGUCCUUGAUAUUGUUAUCAUUGAACAAGUUUCCUUUAUGGGAAAUUGCAGCACCGCUUAUUCUUUUUAUAUAAAAGGCAUAUUCAUUCUUUUGCCAUUACUUUCCUUGACACGUAUGUAAGCACUAUGUGCUGGUCAUUCUUUUUUCAUAUCAAAUUCACAAUGGGCUGCUCAUACAAGACUAUGCUAUAAUAUGAUCAAUAGCACCAAUGUUUUCCCUUCCAAUAAAAGAACCAUAGCAGCAACGUUUUUGCUAGUGUAGAGACAUAAAUAUAUGUUCAUUCUUGUCAACUUAAAUCGUGAAAGUUCACUUCUGAAAGAUGAGGGCAGCUGCUAAUUUAUAUAGUUGCAUCGUGAAUUUAAGGAUAUGGGCAGAAACGUACUAGUACAUUCAGUGUUUGGAAGUUUAAGCAACGACGCUAUUCGAUUUUUUUACGGGUUUUGCACGUCGCUUCAAUCUCGUUGUUCCGUCUUAUCGUGUUGUUGAAUUCGGGCUUUCUUCGAAGUGAAGUAAGGAGGAAAAAGAUUAUUUCUUGGCAUAUAAGAUUGGUGAAGCCCGAGACCUAAGUUAUGGUUAACUUGAGAAGCGGCAAUGUCCCAGAUUGUUUGGCAGGUUAAGCUAGGAUGCUUAGAUGUCAGCUGGGAUUGACAAGUUCCACCUCAUUCUGGAGCUGUGUUGAGUCAUGUAUAGAUAUGUAUGAUUACGGGUAUGUCAGGGCCCUGUCCUGACUCAUAAUGGAGUUCACUCCUUAGAGACUUCUGCAGACAGUGUCCUGUGGAAUGUUUAUCGAGAUGUCGACGAAAUGAUAUCAGUUGAGUCAUUUAUGGAUUUUAAAAGAGUAUGUAUUUUAGAUGAUUUAGAUGGGUCUAAAGUACUUAUUGAUUGAA